GGGCGGUUAGCUCAGGGGGAGAGCACUACCUUGACACGGUAGGGGUCAUAGGUUCAAAUCCUAUACUGCCCACCA
RNAcentral lists this transfer RNA (75 nucleotides) under Magnetococcales bacterium. RNAcentral describes it as "tRNA-Val". It matches the Rfam family "tRNA". From Rfam's summary of the family: Transfer RNA (tRNA) molecules are approximately 80 nucleotides in length. Lineage: Bacteria; Pseudomonadati; Pseudomonadota; Magnetococcia; Magnetococcales. The record is from RNAcentral. RNAcentral also lists the same sequence under 3 other names.